RNAcentral lists this ribosomal RNA (532 nucleotides) under uncultured bacterium. RNAcentral describes it as "bacterial SSU rRNA". It matches the Rfam family "Bacterial small subunit ribosomal RNA", at positions 9 to 526 of the family's 1533-position model. The record is from RNAcentral.
GAGUUUGAUCCUGGCUCAGGACGAACGCUGGCGGCGCGCCUAACACAUGCAAGUCGAACGGAGCUGAGAGGAGCUUGCUUUUCUUAGCUUAGUGGCGAACGGGUGAGUAACGCGUGAGUAACCUGCCCUGGAGUGGGGGACAACAGUUGGAAACGACUGCUAAUACCGCAUAAGCCCACGGGUCGGCAUCGACCAGAGGGAAAAGGAGCAAUCCGCUUUGAGAUGGCCUCGCGUCCGAUUAGCUAGUUGGUGAGGUAACGGCCCACCAAGGCGACGAUCGGUAGCCGGUCUGAGAGGAUGAACGGCCACACUGGAACUGAGACACGGUCCAGACUCCUACGGGAGGCAGCAGUGGGGAAUCUUCCGCAAUGGGCGAAAGCCUGACGGAGCAACGCCGCGUGAGUGAUGACGGCCUUCGGGUUGUAAAACUCUGUGAUCCGGGACGAAAAGGCAGAGUGCGAAGAACAAACUGCAUUGACGGUACCGGAAAAGCAAGCCACGGCUAACCACGUGCCAGCCGCCGCGGUAAUAC